UACAGAGGGGGCAAGCGUUGUUCGGAAUUACUGGGCGUAAAGGGCUCGUAGGCGGCCUGCUAAGUCGAACGUGAAAUCCCUGGGCUCAACCCAGGAACUGCGUCCGAUACUGGUUGGCUUGAAUCCGGGAGAGGGACGUGGAAUUCCAGGUGUAGCGGUGAAAUGCGUAGAUAUGACAUAGAACACCAAUUGCGAAGGCAGCUGGCUACACAAAUAUUGACACUGAGGCACGAAAGCGUGGGGAUCAAACAGG
This 253-nucleotide ribosomal RNA is filed under the name uncultured bacterium. Its description in RNAcentral is "partial 16S ribosomal RNA". It matches the Rfam family "Bacterial small subunit ribosomal RNA", at positions 524 to 776 of the family's 1533-position model. The record is from RNAcentral.